UUAAGUUUAGGGUUAGGUUAGGGUUAGUAUAGGGUUAGGUUUAGGGUCAGGUUAUGGUUAGGAUUUCAGGGUUAGGUUUAGGGUUAUGUUAGGUUUAGUAUAGGGUUAGGUUUAGGGUCAGGUUAUGUUAGGAUUUAGUGGUUAGGGUUAGGGUUAGGUUUAGGGUCAGGUUAUGUUAGGAUUUAGUGGUUAGGGUUAGGGUUAGGUUUAGGGUUAUGUUAGGGUUAGUAUAGGGUUAGGUUUAGG
This is a long non-coding RNA of Xyrauchen texanus (razorback sucker), 246 nucleotides long. RefSeq lists it as uncharacterized. NCBI's taxonomy places the organism in Eukaryota, Metazoa, Chordata, Actinopteri, Cypriniformes, Catostomidae. The transcript is spliced from 3 exons. The record is from RefSeq and is a predicted model, not a curated record.